GGUCUGAGAGGAUGAUCCGCCACACUGGGACUGAGACACGGCCCAGACUCCUAGGGGAGGCAGCAUUGGGGAAUUUUGGACAAUGGGCGUAAGCCUGAUCCACCCAUCCCGCGUGUCUGAAGAAGGCCUUCGGGUUGUAAAGGACUUUUGUCCGGGAGCAAAUCCCAGUGGUUAAUACCUACUGGGGCUGAGAGUACCGGAAGAAUAAGCACCGGCUAACUCCUUGCCAGCAGCCGCGUUAAUACGUAGGGUCCAAGCGUUAAUCGGAAUUACUGGGCGUAAAGCGUGCGCAGGCGGUUGUGCAAGUCUGAUGUGAAAGCCCCGGGCUUAACCUGGGAACGGCAUUGGAGACUG
Molecule: ribosomal RNA, 354 nt
Filed under: bacterium LimB-10-A-343
Lineage: Bacteria
Also listed under: 1 other name
Description: bacterial SSU rRNA
Rfam family: Bacterial small subunit ribosomal RNA
Source: RNAcentral